RNAcentral lists this ribosomal RNA (405 nucleotides) under uncultured bacterium. RNAcentral describes it as "partial 16S ribosomal RNA". It matches the Rfam family "Bacterial small subunit ribosomal RNA", at positions 28 to 526 of the family's 1533-position model. The record is from RNAcentral.
GACGAACGCUGGCGGCGUGCUUAACACAUGCAAGUCGAGCGGAGCGGCGAACGGGUGAGUAACGCGUGAGUAACUGCCCCCCUCUCUGGGAUAACAGUUGGAAACGGCUGCUAAUACCGGAUAGUGGGGGAUGACUCGCGUCCUAUCAGCUUGUCGGUGGGGUAGUGGCCUACCAAGGCGACGACGGGUAGCCGGCCUGGGAGGGCGACCGGCAACAUUGGGCUGAGGUACGGGCCAGAGGCGUACGGGCGGAAGCAGUGGGGAGUAUUGCACAAUGGGGGAAACGCUGGUGCAGCAACGCCGCGUGCGGGAGGGCGGCUUUCGGGGUGUAAACCGCUUUCAGCCAUGACGCGGUAGUGGCAGAAGAAGCACCGGCUAACUACGUGCCAGCAGCCGCGGUAAUAC